RNAcentral lists this ribosomal RNA (218 nucleotides) under Staphylococcus aureus. RNAcentral's name for it is "partial 16S ribosomal RNA". It matches the Rfam family "Bacterial small subunit ribosomal RNA", at positions 1 to 212 of the family's 1533-position model. The record is from RNAcentral. Lineage: Bacteria; Bacillati; Bacillota; Bacilli; Caryophanales; Staphylococcaceae.
UUUAUGGAGAGUUUGAUCCUGGCUCAGGAUGAACGCUGGCGGCGUGCCUAAUACAUGCAAGUCGAGCGAACGGAUGAGAAGCUUGCUUCUCUGAUGUUAGCGGCGGACGGGUGAGUAACACGUGGAUAACCUACCUAUAAGACUGGGAUAACUUCGGGAAACCGGAGCUAAUACCGGAUAAUAUUUUGAACCGCAUGGUUCAAAAGUGAAAGACGGUC